GCAGGGGGGGCGGCCAUAAACAUGCAAGUCGAGCGGCAGCGACAACAUUGAACCUUCGGGGGAUUUGUUGGGCGGCGAGCGGCGGACGGGUGAGUAAUGCCUGGGAAAUUGCCCUGAUGUGGGGGAUAACCAUUGGAAACGAUGGCUAAUACCGCAUGAUAGCUUCGGCUCAAAGAGGGGGACCUUCGGGCCUCUCGCGUCAGGAUAUGCCCAGGUGGGAUUAGCUAGUUGGUGAGGUAAGGGCUCACCAAGGCGACGAUCCCUAGCUGGUCUGAGAGGAUGAUCAGCCACACUGGAACUGAGACACGGUCCAGACUCCUACGGGAGGCAGCAGUGGGGAAUAUUGCACAAUGGGCGCAAGCCUGAUGCAGCCAUGCCGCGUGUAUGAAGAAGGCCUUCGGGUUGUAAAGUACUUUCAGCAGUGAGGAAGGGGAUAUCGUUAAUAGCGGUAUUCUUUGACGUUAGCUGCAGAAGAAGCACCGGCUAACUCCGUGCCAGCAGCCGCGGUAAUACGGAGGGUGCGAGCGUUAAUCGGAAUUACUGGGCGUAAAGCGCAUGCAGGUGGUUUGUUAAGUCAGAUGUGAAAGCCCGGGGCUCAACCUCGGAAUUGCAUUUGAAACUGGCAGGCUAGAGUACUGUAGAGGGGGGUAGAAUUUCAGGUGUAGCGGUGAAAUGCGUAGAGAUCUGAAGGAAUACCGGUGGCGAAGGCGGCCCCCUGGACAGAUACUGACACUCAGAUGCGAAAGCGUGGGGAGCAAACAGGAUUAGAUACCCUGGUAGUCCACGCCGUAAACGAUGUCUACUUGGAGGUUGUGGCCUUGAGCCGUGGCUUUCGGAGCUAACGCGUUAAGUAGACCGCCUGGGGAGUACGGUCGCAAGAUUAAAACUCAAAUGAAUUGACGGGGGCCCGCACAAGCGGUGGAGCAUGUGGUUUAAUUCGAUGCAACGCGAAGAACCUUACCUACUCUUGACAUCCAGAGAACUUAGCAGAGAUGCUUUGGUGCCUUCGGGAACUCUGAGACAGGUGCUGCAUGGCUGUCGUCAGCUCGUGUUGUGAAAUGUUGGGUUAAGUCCCGCAACGAGCGCAACCCUUAUCCUUGUUUGCCAGCGAGUAUGUCGGAACUCCAGGGAGACUGCGGUGAAUAAACGGAAGAAGGGUGGGGACGACGUCAGGUCAUCAUGCCCUUACGGAUAGCUACACGUGCUACAUGCGCAUACGAAGCAGCCAACUGGCUAAGGUGAAGCCGAAAUUC
RNAcentral lists this ribosomal RNA (1253 nucleotides) under Vibrio furnissii. RNAcentral's name for it is "bacterial SSU rRNA". It matches the Rfam family "Bacterial small subunit ribosomal RNA", at positions 35 to 1276 of the family's 1533-position model. The record is from RNAcentral. Lineage: Bacteria; Pseudomonadati; Pseudomonadota; Gammaproteobacteria; Vibrionales; Vibrionaceae.